RNAcentral lists this ribosomal RNA (700 nucleotides) under uncultured beta proteobacterium. Its description in RNAcentral is "bacterial SSU rRNA". It matches the Rfam family "Bacterial small subunit ribosomal RNA", at positions 75 to 769 of the family's 1533-position model. The record is from RNAcentral. Lineage: Bacteria; Pseudomonadati; Pseudomonadota; Betaproteobacteria.
AGAGUUUGCUCUCUGGUGGCGAGUGGCGAACGGGUGAGUAAUAUAUCGGAACGUGUCCAAUAAUGGGGGAUAACGAGUCGAAAGAUUCGCUAAUACCGCAUACGCCCUACGGGGGAAAGCAGGGGAUCGUAAGACCUUGCGUUAAUGGAGCGGCCGAUAUCUGAUUAGCUUGUUGGUGAGGUAAAGGCUCACCAAGGCGACGAUCAGUAGCUGGUUUGAGAGAACGACCAGCCACACUGGAACUGAGACACGGUCCAGACUCCUACGGGAGGCAGCAGUGGGGAAUUUUGGACAAUGGGGGCAACCCUGAUCCAGCCAUUCCGCGUGAGUGAAGAAGGCCUUCGGGUUGUAAAGCUCUUUCGCAAGGGAAGAAAACUUAUGAUCGAAUAAAUCAUGAGGUUGACGGUACCUUGAUAAGAAGCACCGGCUAACUACGUGCCAGCAGCCGCGGUAAUACGUAGGGUGCGAGCGUUAAUCGGAAUUACUGGGCGUAAAGCGUGCGCAGGCGGUUUUGUAAGUCGGAUGUGAAAUCCCCGGGCUCAACCUGGGAACUGCGUUCGAAACUGCAAGGCUAGAGUGUGUCAGAGGGGGGUAGAAUUCCACGUGUAGCAGUGAAAUGCGUAGAGAUGUGGAGGAAUACCAAUGGCGAAGGCAGCCCCCUGGGAUAACACUGACGCUCAUGCACGAAAGCGUGGGGAGC